UAUCGGCACGAAAUCGUCGGAUGAAAAUCUGAGGUGCCCGACGCACAACAUUUUGAACGUGCCACGGAGGAUCAAGGCAAAAAACGAGAGCAAAAAAGGUGCACGCUGAAGGCGGAAAUGAAGCAUGAUCUGGCUUGCAUCUGGUGCAUGAAGAAAUUGCUGGCACGUUAGUUGCAGUCUACCUCCACCAACAGGGUGGAAAACAAAGGUCGCCAUUCCGAUUAGCUGCUAUCUCCCAGUUCAAGCACUUUUGCUGUCUGGACACUGGUUCCUGUGGAUGGGCUGUUACAAGCUUCACUGUCUGAUAUAGAAGUGAUGAGCAUCCAUAAGAACACAUGGCAGAAAGGGAGUCUCUUUGAGAUGACAAACCCUCAUCACCUCAUGAGGAUACAAUGGUUGACGAAUGGUUCUCAAGUACAUCGAAACUUCAACAAAUAAUUCAUGAAAAAGCCGGUCAGUGCUAGCACCAGGAAUUGAACGUGGACCGUCCUGCUACCAGUCAGAGAUGUUACAUUUCAGGUGCUCAUUGACUUUUGGUGAAUUACUUGUUGACUUUGUCCCAAGGUGGAGCUCGCCACAGCUCAUUUGUCUAUCUGUUAAUGUUGUGGCGUGUGUUGCGUUUUUCUCUUUGUGUGUUCCAGACUCAGAACGGUAAAUUUGGAUCAGGUCAGGUACGUUUCAUUUAGACAUGGCAAACAUAAAGUGGUGUUUCUCAACACAACUUAGCAGUGGCCUUCAUGCAUUACUGCCACGGCCAUUAAGCGUGAAUGGAAGGCUGCACAUUAUGCAUGAUGUAAAACCCCAAGACUAGGAACAUGAAGGGACAAACACAAACACGUCCCUUUUUGUUCCCUAGUCACGGGGUUUUACAUAUGCAUCAUCUUCACCAGCUCACUUGCUUCCUAGCCAUUUUUUCUGCCACAUUAUGUUCACUCUACUUCUAUCGUGUGCUAUGUAAUCUUGUUCAAGUUCUGUCAAACGACGUGUAAUACUAUAAAAACAUUCAGUACACUGUUUAUGUGGGUUGAAUGGUAGCGCAUAAAUGCAGAAAGGGAACUGUCAUGUUAUGGAAAGUGUUUACGUAUUGUACAUUUAACUACUAAUUUUAUUGGUUAGCUUUCGCCGGCAUAUGAUGUCAAGCCAUGUUAUAUUAAUUUGGAACAUGUUCUUCUUAGUAGCCAGAGCAGCUGACACACAUUGAGAACAUAGCCCGUGUGUGUUUGUCUUUUCCACCGCAGCCCUUGGGUUUCCUCCCUGAUGGCUACACAUGUCAGGGAUAGGUUUCAGAACCGGUAGUUCCCGCCAAUUGUGAAUUACUUUUCAGGGGAUCAUCACGCUGGCAGAUGAAACAUAUCGUUUAAAUUAUUUGCAGGACAGGAAUUGCGUAGCUUCACACAAAUACUACUACUACGACGUAAGAGUGGUUUCAAAUCUAGUUUUUUUGCAUUCCUGACAUUAUCGCACGAGAUGUAGUAUCCACUAUGAUCCUUUAUAUGAGGGGUAUGUACAGUGCAAUCAACAGAUGCUAUUUACAAAUCUGUGUUUUCUACUGUGUUGAAAUGGGGUAGUUUGUAUCUGAGAGAUAUAGUGAAACACAGGCAGCCAAGGACAGACUUUUGAUUCCCUCG
Long non-coding RNA from Ornithodoros turicata, 1628 nucleotides. RefSeq lists it as uncharacterized. The record is from RefSeq and is a predicted model, not a curated record. The transcript is spliced from 4 exons. Lineage: Eukaryota; Metazoa; Arthropoda; Arachnida; Ixodida; Argasidae.